UCUUGAACAAGCACUGUCCAAGUACCAAUGUCUUUGGCUUCCUUUCACCUUCUCCUGCAAAAGAAAUCAAUGGUUAGACUUAGGAACCCAUACAAUCUUGGGUCCUAUUUUAUGAUUAAAAGAAUAAAUUAAAUUUAUUCUAGUCCAUGCUGGCAACAUGUAGUGCAGCCUGUUUUUCUAACCUGAACCAAUUAUUUUCUUUUGGUUAGAGAAAAUUUAUUUUCCAGGUUUUGACUGUUUGAUCUACUUUUAGCAGCUACUGGACAUUCAGUGGUUAGAUAUCCAUGGUUUCCACAGAUAUAAUACAAAUCUGUAAGAUCAUUACUACCUUUGUUGAAUCCUAAACCUGCCUUUUCAUUGUGAAUUCUUUCACUCAAUUUGUGAAAAAUUCUUGAAGAAUUUGUCCACCUAUUAGCUCUUUUAAGAUCAAGUUUCAGUUUAGAGACUUCUUGACUCAGUUUGUUUAUCAUGUCAGCUGCAUUACUAUACCCUAGUUUGCACUUUUGUGAUUCAAGUUCAGCACUUUCUUGUUCUUUACUCAUGGCCUUUUUGCCAUUUUUAGUGAGAGUUAAUUUAAGGAUUUCAAACUUAAGAUAAUUAUUAGAAGAAUCAAGUUCUACAACCUGUUUCUUGAGAGUGCAAUUUUCCUUGUCAACUGUAACUUUACAAACCUUUAGUUCAAUGAGAUCAAAUUUAAGGCUUGCAAAAUUGUUAAGCAACUCAUCCCUAUCAGAAUUUAAUUCUUGGAAAUCAUCAAUUAGUGCACUUAUCAAGGAAACAAGUUUUGACUUAGAAAAUAAAUAUAGUUUUUUUCUGUAAGUUAAAGUAUGCUUACCUCAGAAGCAUCAUUUUAUUCAUCUAAGUAUGAGUAUCCAAGUGCUAUGAAUGCAGUUUCAUCAGCUUCAUCCUCAUCUGAGUCAGACCACUAAGCUACUAUCAUUGCAUGUUCCUCAUUUCUUUUGGCCUUUUUCUUCAGUUCUUUUUUAGCCCUUACUUUUUUCUAUUCUUUUUCCCAGACUAGACAGCCUUUGAUCGGAUGAUCAAUCUUUUCAUACUUGUAUCAACCAUUUGGAUUGUCAUUUGAAUAUUUCUUGCUACCUGUUCCCAUAUUAUUUUUAAAGAAUUUGCUGAAGUUCUUAGUUAUGAAGGCAACUUAUUCCUUAUUAAGUUCAAAUUCCUCAUCACUAUCAGAAGCUUCAAUGCCAAGAUUUUGUCAGGAACUGCUUGUUCUUUGGUUCCAUCAACUUCUAUUUCAUAAGUCCUUAAGUUUCCUACCAUUUCAUCCAGGGUCAUACCUGUGAAAUCCUUAUUUUCCUCCCUUGUUGCAGUUACUUUGACAUUCCACUUAGAUUUUGGCAGUACCCUCAGUACCUUUUCAACUUGUUCCUUCUCAGUGAUGAUUUUUCCCAAGGAAGUCAGCUCAUUUGUUAAGGUAGUAAGCCUAGUGAUCAUAUCAUGUAAGGAUUCAUUAUCCUUCAUCUUAAAUGCCUCACACUCAGUGAAAAUAAAAAAAAUCCUGAAUUUUCUUACCUGAGAGGUACCCUCAUGUGCAUUUACCAGUGCAUCCUAAAUUUGCUUAGCAGUGGUGCAUGUUGACACCCUGUUGUAUUCAGCAGGUCCUAAUCCACAAACGAUGAUGUUAGUAGCUUUUGUAUUUUUCUUUAAUGCCACAAAGUCAUCAGCAAUAAAUUCACUCCUUACUUUCUUGACUGGUUCACCAUCAACCAUCUUUAUUUGAAUAGUGGGACCAUCAGUAAUCCUUCCCAUAGUUCAUAAUCUUCAUCUUGGAUGAAUAUCUCCAUCCUGGCCUUCCACCAGAUAAAGUGAGAACCAUCAAAGAGUGGAGGUCUAGUAGUUGACUGACCUUCACUAUGCCCAGUAGGAGGUGCGAAAUUCAUCAUUGAUCUUUUCUUAGGUGCUAGCUUUAUUUAAGACAACUCCAUUCUGAUACCACUUGUUAGAGUGUGUGCCCUACUGAUUUUAAUAUUUUACUCUACCGUUUGCUUAUCUAUGAAACAAGUAAGCUAACGUGGUUCACAGAAGUAAAACUUGAACACAUUAUUUUUAUAUGGAAAACACCCGGCUUAAGAAAGGUGUAAAAAAACUCGAACUGUACCUCUACAGGAUUUAACCAUAACUUCACUAUAACUCUUGAGCCUCAAUAAUCAACAAAUUACAAGACUUCUUGUAAACUAGUAAUUAAAACUUUUAACUCCUACUUCUACAAAAACACUAAUCUUCCCAAGAUAAGUGUUCCCAAGUCUUCGAGUUCCCCAACUUGAAGACGUUAAUCCUAACUCAGUUUUUACUUCACUGAGACUAGAGAUUACAACUCAAUAUGACUCAAUGACCAGCUUAUUACAUAUAGUCUAUGACUCUAAGUAAAGAACCAGGUUGUUACAAUAGCUCCUUGAAGUUGUAGAACUGAUUUGUUGAUUAUUGACUAUCUUUUCAGUGCGUGAUUCCAAUAAUUGAAUGUCGUUUUUUCUAUUUAAGCCAACUCUUUAUUGAGUCCUUUAGUUGAUGUGAUUGAUUCCUUUAGUUUAUACAUUUUUCUAUCUUUAAUAGGACUCUCAGGCAGUUUUACUCCUUCAUUGCUUCCGUCUCUCUCUCCUUAGUUGAAUAGGACUUUUCUCUUCUAUCCCUUAGUCUUGUAGGAUUCCUUGAUCAACUCAACUUCUGGAUGCUGUACUUAUCCUCUCUUUAGCAUGUACUCAACUGAUAUGAUAAGUGUUGAGAGCAUGUCUGAAGAUUGUUACUUAUCCACUCCUAUUUUUACACAGUGUCAUCUUAUCAAUAAUCUUGCCUGUGACUAUUCUUCCUUCACUUGUGUGGAGCAACUUGCACAUCAUGUUUCAUUCAUAUGUCCAUCAUCAAAACUUCACAUUCCCUAACACAUAGGUUUUAAUGUUUUUAUUAAAUUUAAAGAUAUACAACCAUGUUUUUUAAAAAGGGUUUUGAUAAUAAUUGAAUUAUAUGUAUCAUAGUUUUUUUAUGGAAGUAUAUGCUGGUUUAGAUCCCCUUUAUUUGAAAUUGAAUUUUCAAUUAUAUAUAUAUAUAUAAUCACUUUAACAGAAUAGAGGUAUUUCAAAUUUGGUCGAACUAUAAAUGCACUCAACGACAAUAAAUCACACUAAAGUUUUUUAAGAAAGAGAAGUAUUUUGUUCUUCAAAAUUUUUUCUCUAUUCUUGAGAAAAAAUUUAGGUAUUUAUAGUCAUAAAGGUAUUUUUUCAUGAAGAGAAGCAAUGGUAGCAAGGUGCACCCCUUAUAAAGGUGCAACUCUUUGAAAAAGUCACAACCCAUUGAAAACGUCAUAACCAUCCUAACCAAAAAGGUACCUAUUCAAAUUGGAUUCUUUCUCUAUGUGUCUUUUUGAAAAAAUACCUAUUUAUUUUUCAUUCACAUCUCUUAAAAAUCUAAUAAAAAUCUCCUUAAAUUGAGAGAGUAAAUCACGUUUCAUCAGUUUUGAAGCACAAUAAGCGUAAAAAUUAAUAGAAAAUAAAAAAAAUCAUCUCUUUAAAUCGAAGUCUAUUGAAAACUGUAAUUCUAACUCAAAUUAUUCAUCUAUUUUUUUAUUUGUCAAGUCAAUAUCAACUAUCUCUAUUUUGUUACGGUAUUCGAGUGUUUGGAUUUUUGAGAUCAGAUAUGACUUGUAUAAUGGCCCGAUUCAUGAAAAAACAUCUUACAGAGAUUUAAUGACCGCAAUAGAUACUCAACUUAAAAUCAUAGAAAAACUUUCAUGCAAAAUAUAUUGUUCAAGAAAAUUCAACAGGAAUCAAGAUUCAUAAUAAUAUGAGUGUGAAGCUUUUUUUUUUGAAAAUUUUGAACAAGCAUCAUCCUUUGGUAUGUAUUCACUAUGUAUUAAUAAUACUGAAAUAGUAAAUGAUCUUGGGAUGUUUGAUUCAGAUACAGGUGCAAUUGAGUAUCAUGAACUUGUUGAAAUAGAAAUGCUUUUCUACAGUAUAUGAUAAUGAAUCAUUGAAUUUAUUUGAUCGCGAUAUCAACAACUUUAUAACGGAUUGCAACAACAAGAUUGUGAAGGUGAAGCAACUUUACAAGAACAAAUCAACUCUCAUUUCAGUGAUGCAAAAGUAUUUCAUCCAGCAUAGAUUUAAUUUUAGAGUUGAGAGAUUCGAUAAAAAGAGGUAUUUUUUUAAAAAUUAAUAUUUUUUGAGUGUUGAUACAUUUUAAUCUAGGUAAUUAGUUAUUUAAUUAAAGCUAGUAUUUUAUGAAUAUGGGUUACUGGAAUUUUCAUGUUCUGAAUUCUUGAUAUAUUUUUAUGAUUUGUAUUGUACAAUGAGACAGUAAAAAGGUAAUCAAAAGUGAAUUUUAUGUUUUUUGACUAAUGUUUCAUUUUUUGCUACAUAUUAAAUGUUUUUGAAUUUUUUUGAUUAUAUUGUGUUAUUUUUGAUACAUAUUUGAUUAUGCUUCAUAUUAUAUUGUAAAUGAUUCAAAUAUUUCUAUGAUUCAUAUUGUACUGUAUUAUUUUUGAUACAUAUUUGGUUAUCUUUGCAAUUAUUUUAUGUGACACUUAAUACAUAUAUGAUUCAAAAAGAAGAUGUAUAUCAUUGAUUGUGUGAAGUUAGACACAUUAUGUUAUGUAUCAAGCUAUAGAUAUGUUGUUAUAUAAUAUUUGUAGCAUUUAGUGUCCCUAAGCUAAAACAUAAUUUGAUAAAUUUUUUAGACCUAAUUUUUUGUAAGUUUUCAUAUAGAAUACUUUUUUUAUUGUGAACAUAUAUAACUCAAUAUGUCUCAGUUGUUCUUAUAUAGAGCAAUUAAUUAUGUGUUUAAUCCAUGCAGUUAUUUUUUGAGGUGUAAAUCUCAAGAUUGUAGUUGGAUCUUUCAAGAGUCAUGUAUAGAGGUAUUGGUACUUUUAAAUUAAGAAGUUUUUAUGGUAAACAUACAUGUCCAAUUAUGUUUGGCGUCUUCAAUCCAUGUUAAGCGACUGUUGUUUUUUUCAGAGGGAUAAUAGUGCCAAACUUGGAGAACCUUAAAAGGAUAAUCACACCAAGUGACAUUAUUGAUGAUAUCAAAUGAGAGCUGGAUCUAGAUAUUAACUACAUGGGGGCAUGGCACUCUAAAGAACAGGUUCUAGAGAUAUUGAAAGGUUGGCCAAAUAAUGGAUACAGAUAAAUGCCAAGACACAUAUACAUGUUAAAUUUGUGUACCAAAAUUAUACAUAAAAAAGCAUGUCACCAGAGUUCUUGUAGCUUUCCAUAGCUCUGUAUCUAUGGAUCAGAGGGUUCAAGUAUUUUAGGUAAAUUGUUGUAGUAGAUGGGAGUCACCUGAGUGGUCCAUAUAAAGAAACUUUCCUUUCAGCUAAUACACUGGAUGUGGAAGGUAUUGAUUGUUUGAUUUUUUUUUUAGUUUAAAACAUAUUUCUUGUUUUUAAUUAAGAAAUUAAAUAUAUUUAUUUUUUAUUUAUGUACUAGGACAAUAUUGUCACUUGCAUAUGCUGUAGUUGAUUCUGAAAAUAAUUCAUCUUAGACAUGAUUUUUUCAAUAGUUUAAGUGUACUUUCAGGGAGCGUGAGAAUAUGUGUGUUGUCUCAGAUCAUAAUAAAAGCAUAAUCAAGAGUGUUGAAAUAUUGUAUCCAUCUAUACUAUAUUUGCAUAGUAUUUGACAUCUUUAGGGUAAUGUGUGCACAAUUUUUAAGAAAAGUAAGGACAAAUUAAUCAACUAAUUUUUUGCUAUGUCUAAAGCAUACAGAAAAGAUGAUUUUAAUGAGUUAAUGUCUAGAGUUGAGAAGAUUAAUGUAAUACCCCGUACUUUUUCUAACUUAGUUUAUCUCCUAAUGUGUCAAGGGUUAACUUUAAAAAUGAAUAACUCUUGGUGCAUUUAGAAUUUUCCAUCUCUAGACCCACCAGUGUGUAGAUAAUUGAAUCAUCUUUCCAAUGAAACAAAUUUCUCCUUAAUCCGAUACUCGGUUGAGAAGUUAUGACAAUUUUAGUGAAAAACAGUAGAGCACCGCAUCGCGGCGAGGUGUAGAAUCGCAAUUGUCCAAUUUCCAGUGAAGAACCGCGAUUAGCCUAUGUUGCGGUGAAGUAUAAAUUAUCACUCAUCCUUUUCCAAUAGCUUACCGUGAUUGGCCAGUGUCGCUCUAGUAAUCGCGAUGGAGCAUAGCACCGCAUUGCGGUGGAAUUCAAAAUGGCACUCGCCCUUUUCCAGUGACGCAACGCGAUUAUUCUACGUCGCGCCAUGGUGUAAAAAUGCAGUCAUCCCUUUUGCAGUAAGCCACCGCGAUAAGCAGCGCGUCGCACUGAGGCCCAAAAUCGGAAUUUCUAAUUUUGAACUAAUUUUUACAAAGGGCAACCAAGUUAUUUCCCAAGGCCCCAAAUCAUGUAAAACACAAGAUCCAUCCUAUUCUAAGCAUUAUACACUCACUUUUUACAAAAUUUCUCUCCAAGAAACACUAGAGUUUCAAAUUUCAAUCCCUAAGAACGCCAAAUUUCACCAUUCUUUUUUCAAGAUAACCCAAAAUUUAAUAUUUCAGUUCAAGAACUUCAAGAAUCAAUCUUCAAGAGCACAGAUAGGAACUCAAAGUUCAAGCUUCUUCAAUAAUUCAUCAAUUAAGGUAUGUGGGGUUUUCAACAAGGAUAAUCCUUUCAUCUUUGUGCCCAAAAUUAGUUUUAAAGUUGAAUUUUAUAUGAAAUUACAUGAAUUUCAGUCUAGGAUUUAUAGUCACUCAUUACUAGUUGAAGAUUAUGAGAUUUUAAGUGAUUUAGAUGAUGAAUUGCAUGUCUACUUUCGUAUUUUCAUACGUAUGACAUUAAUUUCUAGAUUUAGAACUAAAUUAUCAAUGCUUUCAUUAUUAAGCAUGAACUUUAUGAUGAUUUGACAUGAAUUUGAUGCAUGGGUUAUUUGCCCUAGUUUGAAUAUUGACAUUUCAAGAAGAUUAUGCUUUUAAGCAUCCCGUGAUUAGAUAUAUUCAGAUUUUAAACAAUGAUUUGAUCUUUUGAUCUCAACUUAGAUAUGGAAUCCACUUUAUAGUUUCAUUAUAGUUUACAAUAAAAAGAUUCACCAGAGGUUUUCAUUAUAAACCCUUAUACUAGUUUUAAAAGUUGAUUUCCUAGAGAAUGAGCAUACAGAUUAAAGGGAGUAGUAUUUAGCACCGAGUUGGGUAUGUUCAUAUGCCUCAGAAAUACGAGACAAUAUAGAUUUAGAUUAUCAGAUUAUUCCCAUUUCUAUAUGAAUGACAGUUACAGAUGUAAUCACUUAGAUUAGGUUAUACUCCUUCACAAGAGUAUGACACCUCUUCCCAACGUGAGGUUUUCCCAUAAGGAAACUAGAUGUUAGACUCCAUGUUAUCUCAUAUGGUUUAUAUCAAUUAGAAGAACCUCUCUAUAGGGAAGAGUAAAGAAUAAUAGAAAAGCUUUUAGAAAUUAAGUGUAAAGGCUCACAAUUUUGUUACGAUAUUAUUUUAUAUAAGUCAUUAGCUACUAGAUUUCAGCUUUCAGUUGAAAGAUAUAGAGGUGAGUCUUUUUAUACUUAGCAUGUUUGAUUUGAAAAUAGAAUACCAGUACAACUUUCAGAACUAAGUGUUAUGACUCAUAAAAUUUAUACAGUAUGCUUUAUCAUUCAUGAUUCAUGAUUUAUAGCUUUCAGUUAUUCCAGCUAAUGCGAGUCAUUUAUACUUAGCAUGCAUUACUUUACAUGUUAAUACAAACAUUGAGAUAUUGUUUUACUUAUGUAUUUACCCUCAUAUACUCAGUACAUUCCAGAAGUACUAAUCCACAUAUACGUUUAUGUGAUACAUUGUCUCAUAAUGUAGGUUCAGGUGCUAAGUUUCAGCAGCAUGAGUGAUUUCAUGCAUCUCCAUCUACAUCCUGACAUUUGGUGAGUCCUCAUUGUUCGGGAACCAGUAUUAAGAAUUUUUAGUUUAUUACAGUAGUUGAUUCAGUAUUUUCAGUCAGUUCGAGUCAGCUGGGGGCUUGUCCCAGUGGCUCUCUAGUUAUUAGUAGUAGAGGCUUGUCAGACUGCUAGUUAUGAUUCAUAUUUCUAGUGUUGACUGUCCAGACUUUUAAGUCUAAUAUUUUCAGACAUCAUGUUCAGAUAAAUUUUAGCUUAACUCAGAUAGAAUUCCAUAUUUUCAAUUUGAUUAUAUAUCAAUAUUUCUUUAUUAUAAGCUUCAGAUUUAGUAAAAGACUUAUAAGGUUAGCUUAAGGCUACUCAUAGUCUUGAGCACCGUGUGACAUCUCGAGACCAUUUUUGGGGUGUUACAAACUUGGUAUUAGAGCCUAAGGUUAUAAGAGUCCUAUAAAGUCAGACAAGCCACGUCACGUAGAGUCUUAAUCAUAGGUUUGAAGCGAGCCAAAUUUAUGAGAAAAAGGCUAUGGGACCUUUUUAGGAAAUUAUCCAUUUAUUUUAUGAUCUAUCAUUCUUACAGUGUCUCUAUUUUCUUUUAACAUAUACUCUUACAUAAAAGUUGAAUAUGCCUUCUCACCGAGCUAAUGCACGCAGAAAUGAUAACCUGCCACUCCAGCCCGCUGACCCUAUAAAUGAGAAUGUAUCCAUGCUGAAUUUUGAGUUGCCUUUCAAGUGUUAGCCCAAGCUGUGACCGCCAAUGUUCAGGGAAACCAUCAAGUAACAGUCCCACUUCAGCAGAGUCGUGAUUUAGCGGCAGCCAGAAUUCAUGACUUUAUGAGAAUAAAUUCGUCUGAGUUCUUUGGUUCAAAACUAGGUGAGGACCCAUAACUUUACUUAUCCAAAUUAUUCAUGUUACUGAAGAAGAGAGUGUAGAGUUGGAAUCCUAUAAGCUAAAGGAUAUGGCGUAUGAUUGGGUGGUUAUAUGGAAGAAUGGUAGAGGUGAGAAUACAGCUUCUACGAGUUGGUUGGUAUUCCAGGAUGCGUUUCUAGACAGGUUCUUUUUAUGUAAAAUGAGAGAAACUAAGAUAGAGAAGUUUGUAAACCUGAGUUAGGGCUUGAUGAUAGUAAAGGAGUACUACCUUAAGUUCAAUCAGUUGUCUAAGUAUUCUCCUGAUAUGAUGGCUGACCCUAGGGCGAGUAUGAGUAAGUUUGUUACUGAAGUAUCUAUUUUGGUAGUCAAGAAGUGCAUGAUUACCAUGCUUAUUGGGGACAUUGAUGUUUCUAGGUUGAUGAUUCAUGCUCAAUAGAUUAAGGCAGAGAAGUUGAAAGAGAGAGAGGAAAUAAGAAGGCUAGAAUCGAGAAGUUUGAUUAUGGCCAGACAAAGUUUGGAGGAGGGAACUGUUCAUAAUUUCAGAAUCGUUCAUCUAUGCCAGCACCAUCUUCAUCCAGUGCUCCGAAUCCCAAAGCUAGGAAGGAGUAGUAGGGUAAGACUUCUAUGUCUAAAUCUCAGAAUAGUGUGAGUGAAAAACCUAGUUAUCCUCUAUGUGCUAAGUGUGGUAAGAAUUAUCUUGGUGAGCUUGUUGAAGCAAAAAGGUUGUUAUGGUUUUGGUAAGUUAGGUCAUAGAAUCAAAGAGUAUUUGCAUGCUAAGUAGGGAAGCAGAGUUGUUCGCCCCUAGACUCAGGCUACUAGAGCACUAGCUCAUUUAGGUCGCUCAGUCCCUCUUCAGGGUUCGUCAUUCAGUACUGGUAAUGGUCAGCGCCAGAAUCAGUAUUAUGUUUGACCAUCCCAUCAGGAGAAGGAGAGUUCACCGGAUGUUGUUACUAGUAUGCUUCGUGUCUUUCAUCUUGAUUCUUAUGUGUUGUUAGAUCCAGGGUCGAAUUUCUCUUAUGUGACCCCACUAGUUGCAGUAAAUUUAGAAGUAGGUCCCAAAAAGCUUCCUAAUCCCUUCUUAGUUUCUACCCUAAUGAGUGAUUCAGUUGUUGUCAAAUGAGUCUAUAGAAAUCGUCCUAUCAUUGUUCUUCAUAAGAUCAUGUUAGCAGACUUAAUAAAACUAGAUAUGGUCGACUUUGACCUUCUUCUGGACAUGGAUUGGCUUCAUUCCUUUUAUGCAUCUAUAAUGGAUUGCAACAGCAAGAUUGUCAAGGUAAAACAACUUUACAAGAACAAAUCAACUCUCAUUUCAGUAAUGAAAAAGUAUUCCAUCCAACAUAGAUUUAAUUUUAGAAUUGAGAGAUUCGACAAAAAAAGGUAUUUUUUUGAAAAUUAAUAUUUUUAAGUGUUGAUACAUUUCAAUCUAGGUAAUUAGUUAUUUAAUUGAAGCUAGUAUUUUAUGAAUAUGGGUUACUGAGAUUUUCAUGUUCUGAAUUCUUGAUACAUUUUUAUGAUUUAUAUGGUACAAUGGGACAGUGAAAAGGUAAUCAAAACUGAAUGUUAUGUUUUUUGACUAUUGUUUCAUUUUUUGCUACAUAUCAAAUGUUUCUGAACUUUUUGAUUAUAUUGUGUUAUUUUUUAUACAUAUUUGAUUAUGCUUCAUAUUAUAUUGUAUUAUGAUUCAAAUAUUUCUAUGAUUCAUAUUGUACUGUAUUAUUUUUUAUACAUAUUUGGUUAUCUUUGCAAACUAUUAUUUUAUGGGACAUUUAAUACAUAUAUGAUUCAAAAAGAAGAUGUAUAUCGUUGAUUGUGAGAAAUUUGACACAUUAUGUUAUGUAUCAAGCUAUAUAUGUUGUUAUACAAUAUUUGUAGCAUUUAGUGUCCCUGAGCUAAAACAUAAUUUGAUACAUUUUUUAGUAAUAAUUUUCUUUUUAAGUUUUCAUAUAACAACUUUUUUUUAUUGUGUAACAUAUAUAACUCAAUUUGCAUCAACUGUUCAUAUAUCGAACAAUUGAUUAUAUGUUUAAUCCAUGCAGUUUUUUUUAGGUGUAAAUCUCAAGAUUGUAGUUGUAUUUUCAAGCGUCAUUUAUACGAGGUACUGGUACUUUUAAAGAAAGAGGUUUUUAUGGUGAACAUACAUGUCCAGUUAUGUUUGGCGUCUUCAAUCCAUGUCAAGCAACUGUUGGUUUUUUCAGAGGGAUAAUAGUGCCAAAGUUGGAGAACCUUAAAAGGAUAAUCACACCAAGUGACAUUAUUGAUGAUAUCAAACGAGAACUGGAUUUGGAUAUAAGCUACAUGGGGGCAUGGCGUGCUAAAGAACUGGUUCUAUAGAUAUUGAGAGGUGGACCAUACAGAUAAAUGUCAAGACACAUAUACAUGUUAAAUUUUGUGUACCCAAAUUAUACAUAAGAAUGCAUAAGUCACCAGAGUUCUUCUGUCUUUCCGUAGCUCUGUAUCUAUGGAUCAGAGGGGUAAAGUAUUUUAGACAAAUUAUUAUAGUAGAUGGGAGUCACUUGAGUGGUUCAUAUAAGGAAAGUUUCCUUUUAGCUAAUACGCAGGAUGGGGCAAGUAUUGAUUAUUUGAUUUUUUUUAGUUUAAAACAUAUUUCUUGUUUUUAACUAAGAAAUUUAAUAAAUAUAUUUUUUAUUUAUGUACUAGGACAAUAUUGCCACUUUCAUAUGUUGUAGUUGAUUUUGAAAAUAAUUCAUUUUGGACAUGAUUUUUUCAACAGUUUAAGUGUGCUUUCAUGGAGCGUGAGAAUAUGUGUGUUGUCUCAGAUCGCCAUAAAAGCAUAAUCAAGAGUGUUGAAAUAUUGUAUCCAUCUUACUAUAUUUGCAUUGGAUUUGACAUCUUUGGGGUAAUGUGUGCACAAUUUUUAAGAAAAGUAAGGACAAAUUAAGCAACUAAUUUUUUGCUAUGACUAAAGCAUACAGAGAAGAUGAUUUUAAUGAGUUAAUGCCUAGAGUUGAGAAGAUUAAUGUAAUACCCCAUACUUUUCCUAGCUCAGUUUAUCUCCUAAUGUGUUAAGGGUUAACUUUAAAAAUGAAUAACUCUUGAUGCGUGUAAAAUUUUUCUGCUAUAGAUCCACCAGUGUGUAGAUAAUUGUAAAAUGAAUAAUGCAUAUGGUGAUUUUAGUGAAAAAUAGUAGAGCACCGCAUCGCGGUGAGGUGCAGAAUCACAGUUGUCGAAUUUUCAGUGAAGCACCGCGAUUAGCCCGUAUCGCAAUGAAGUACAAAUUCCCACUCAUCCUUUUCCAGUAGCUCACCGCGAUUGGCCAGUGUCGCCUCAGGAAUCGCGGUGGAGCAUAGCACCGCGUCGCAGUGGAGUGUAAAAUGACACUCAUUCUUUUCCAAUGAUGCAGCGCGAUUACGCCGCAUCACGCCAUGGUGCAAAAUCGUACUCGUCCCUUUUCUAGUAAGCCACCGUGAUAAGCAGCGCAUCGUGCUGAGGCCAAAAAUCAAGAUUUUUAGUUCUGAACUAAUUUUUACAAAGGGAAACUUUCUCAUUCCAAAGCCUCCAAGUCAUGUAAAACACAAGAUCAAGCCUAUUCUAAGCAUUAUACGCUCAGUUUUUACAGAAUUUCUCUCCAAGAAACCCUAGAGUUUGAUAUUUCAAUCCCUAAGAACGCCAAAUUUCACCAUUCUUUUUCCAAGAUAACCCAAAAUUUAAUGUUUCAGUUCGAGAACUUCAAGAAUCAAUCUUCAAGAGCACAAAUAGGAACUCAAAGUUCAAUCUUCUUCAAUAAUUCAUCAAUUAAGGUAUGUGGGGUUUUCAACAAGGAUAAUCCUUUCAUACCUGUGCCCAAAAUUAGUUUUAAAUUUGAAUUUUAUAUGAGAUUACAUGAAUUACAGUCUAAGAUUUAUAACCACUCAUUACUAUUUGAUGACUAAGAUUUUAAGUGAUUUAGAUGAUGAAUUGCAUGUCUACUUUCGUAUUUUCAUGCGUAUGACAUUAAUUUCCAGAUUUAGAACUGUAUUAUCAAUGCUUUCAUUAUUAAGCAUGAAUUUUAUGAUGAUUUGACAUGAAUUUGAUGCAUGGGUUACUAGCCCUUGUUUGAAUGUUGAUAUUUCAAGAAGAUUAUGCUUUUAAGCAUCCCAUGAUUAGAUAUAUUCAUAUUUUAAAUGAUGAUUUGAUCUUUUAUCUCAUCUUAGAUUUGUAGUCCACUUUACAGUUUCAUUACAGUUUACAGUAAAAAAAUUCACAAGAGGUUUUCAUUACAAACCCUUAUACUAGUUUUAAAAGUGGAUUUCCUACAGAAUGAGCAUACAGAUUAAAGAGAGUAGUAUUUAGCACCGAGUUCACAUGCCCCAGAACUAUAAGCCAAUAUAGGUUUAGAUUAUCAAAUUAUUUCCUUUUCUAUAUGGAUGACAGUUAUAGAUAUGAUUACUUAGAUUAGGUUAUACUCCCUGGCAAGAGUAUGACACCUUUCCCCAACAUGAGGUUUUCCAAUAAAAAAACUAGACGUUGGACUUCAUGUUAGCUUACAUAGUUUAUGUCAGCUAGAAAAACCUCCCUACAGAAAAGAGUAAAGAAUAACAGAAAAGCUUUUAGAAACUAAGUGUAAAGCCUCACGAUUUUGUUCAACUAUUGUUUUAUAUAAGUCAUUAGCUACUAGAUUUCAGCUUUUAGUUUACAGAUACAGAGGUGAGUCCUUUUACACUGAGCAUGUGUGAUUUGAAAAUAAAAUACCAGUACAGCUUUCAGAACUAAGUGUUAUGACUCAUAAGAUUUAUACAGUAUGUUUUAUCUUUCAUGAUUCAUGAUUUAUAGCUUUCAGUUAUUCCAGCCAAUGUGAGUCAUUUAUACUUAGCAUGCAUUACUUUACAAGUUUAUAUGAAUAUUGAGAUAUUACUUUACUUAUGCAUUCACCCCCAUAUACUCAGUACAUUCCAGAAGUACUAAUCCACAUAUACAUUUAUGUGAUACAUUGUCUCAUAAUGUAGGUUCAGGUGCUAAGUUUCAGCAGCAUGAGUGUUUUCGUGCAUCUCCAUCUACAUCCCGACAUUUGGUGAGUCCUCAUUGUUCGGAAACCAGUUAUUAAGAAUUUUCAGUUUAUUACAGUAGUUGAUUCAGUAUUUUCAGUCAGUUCGAGUCAGUUGGGGGCUUUCCCCAGUGGCUCUCUAGUUAUUAGUAGUAGAGGCUUGUAAGAAUGCUAGUUAUGAUUCAUAUUUCUAGUGUUGACUGUCCAGACUUUUAAGUCUAAUAUUUUCAGACAUCAUGUUCAGAAAAAUUUCAGCUUAACUUUGACAGAAUUUCAUAUUUUAGAUUUGAUGAUAUAUCUAUAUUUCUUUAUUAUAUGCUUUAGAUUUAGUUGGAGGCUUACAGAGUUAGCUUGAGGCUACUCAUAGUCUUGAGCACCGUGUGACAUCUCAAAACCCAUUUUUUGGGCUUUAUAAGUAAUUAUAGAGUGAACGAUUAUUUCAUAGAUGCAAGAUACGAAAAGUGUGCAAGAGUGAAUGUUCCAUAAAUAAGGGGAGAAUAAUGACAUCUAAUAUAGCAGAAUAUAUCAACUCACAUCUUUUGGAGGCACGUAGCUGUUAAUUUAGGAUUUCUAGAAUAACUAAGAAUCUUAUUUAAUUCUUGAAACUGCAAAAAUAAAGAUAAGCCAAAUUUUCUUUUAGAGAAAUCAUUGGGAGACAGGUUCAGAAAUUUUGUAUACAAACAAAACAAACUCAUGCGUAUGAUGAAGGAAGAUGAUAUGUUGUUCGUUUGGAUGAUCGAAUAUGCAACUGUGGUUGAUUUUAGCCUAAUGAGAUUUCAUGUUUGCUUGUUAUUGUUGUAUUGAAAAUCAAGUAUGUGAAUGAAAUGAAGCCAUAUUGUUGGAUUACUAUAAAAAAAACUCUUGUCAAGAUUUAUGAAAUGCCUAUUUGUUCGAUGCCGGAUAAGAAGGAUUGAGAUGUUCUAGUGAACGCUUUAGAAGAUGUGGUAUUGCCUUCGCAAUAUAGAAGACCACCUUGAAAACUAAAUAAAGGAAGGCACACGAAAAUUAGUGAAAUGUUUGCCUUAAACUCAAAUUGUUGCAGAAAGUGUAGGCGUGAAGGCAACAAAUGACGCACCUGCAACUACUUUUUAAAGAAAAUGUGAUAUUUUUUUAUUUUUGAAUCAUAUCUUUGAAAUUUAUAUGAAAUUUCUUAUUGUGAAUAUUAUUUAUAGUUUUAAUUCCUCAAUAAUAUUUAAAUUUGCAAAUGAUAGUUAUCCGUAAUUUGUUCAGUUAUACUAACUAUAUGUUUAAAUAGCUUUGUGAAAAAUACGUGUUAGUGUUGAAACUCAUUACUUGUUAAGGAUGUUUAAUGAUUCAUAUAUAUUUAAUGAUAGUUUUUAAUUGUUAAGGAUAUAUUAUAUUUAAUUCAUAUGAUUGAUACGUAUCAUUCAACUAUUUCAUGAACUACAAAGAUGCUGAUACUUAUUUUUUAAUAAAAACUGGGAAGUAACUGAUGAACUGUAAUUGUAAUUAUACAUAUGUUGGAAUGAUAUUAGUGAUGUAGCAAGAGAACUAAACCUGAUACAUAUUGUAUUUCAUAUAUGUUUCCACAUAUGUUUGACGCAUAUAUUUGACACAUAUAAUUCCGGUAAAUAGAAAACUGCAAAGUUAUUGAUGCAUAUCAGUAGCAUCCAAUUAACUAAAUGAACUGAAAUUUUAAUGAUGUAUAUUAUCCAAUGCUAUAAAUCAAAGUAACUGAUUAACUUAAAUUGUAGUGAUACAUAUAUGUCAUACAUAACAAUUGAAGUUACAGGUUAACCCAAAAACUGCAUGUAUACAUAUGUAAUAUACAUAUGUAGUGAAGUUACUACUGAAGUGAAAAAAUAGCAACUUUAACAUAGUAAUAAAUAAAAAUAUAAAAAAUAUAUUAUAAUAAAUAAAGUACUAAUUGUCAUUAAUAGUAAUGACAAAACACAAUUUAAUUGUGCAAUAAAAAAAGAAAACAUGAACGCAAGUAGCCACAAUCCUAUCAUCAUAAUUCUAUCAAUACAAAACAACAAAAAAUGUUGUCAACAUCAUAACAAAACUAUUAGAACUAUAAAUACUCAAUAUUUAUCAAAACCUACUUGUCCGAAUGAAUGCAUGUGCAUUUAGGCUUAAACGGAUCUUGAUUGUCGUUAAUAUAUUCAUUCAUUGCCUUGUCUAAUUCAUAAUUCCGUAAGAUCAAAGCAUAUCUAGUUCUAUAAAGUGUAGUGUUUAAUUAUGAAGCAGGUAUCUCAAUUCCAUUACUUAGAUAUUUAGCAUAAGCUGUCACAAAGAGUCCAUAAUCCUUGAUAAUAUAUACGUAUAUCAAUGUUAUUUAAUGUAGAUUACUUAUAUAAAAAAUAUUAAAGUGAGUAAUUUUGAUACAUACAGUGUGUCGCUUGACUGUUGGACAAUACCAUCAACAUACUGAAUCUGAAAUGCAUCUUGAUCAGCCUUUUCAUUGUAUGCUACAACUUGUGACCAAUCUGUUCAUUCCUUCUUCUAAAAAACCUAGUCAUGGUCAAAUAAGUAGGAAUCAUUGACGCAAGUUGAAUUAUUUUCAUUGAAUAAUUUCUGUGUCCUUUCGUUGAGUCAUAGGCAUGAAUGCACCUCUCCUUAAGAAUGAAAACUAUUAAUACCCAACGAAAAGCCUCUUGACAGUUUACUGAAAUGUAAACUUGAUCUACUAAAUGUGAUGCCAGUUUGGUUGGAAUGCACAAACUUUGGACAAUAAAAUAAAUUGAUGCCUUUUGCAAUGCAAUAUGUUUUAAGCGGGAGUAAUCAUAUUUAGAACUAUGUUUUAACUUCUCUGAUGGUUAACGAUGAUAUCAAAUAUAUGUGUCAUGUACAUACGUAAUGAACCGAUAAUUAGCAAUGGUAUAUCUAUAAUUCUUGAUGUUCUUGACUUUUUGGACAGGUAAUAAAAUACUACAUCAACAUGUUGUAUAUGUAAAAAACUAUAUUUCUCAAUUCUCAUUCCAAACUUUGAUUUAUGCAUCAUUAUGUUUAAAAAGUAUAACCAUCAAACAAAUUAAAAUAUAUGCAUAAGCUGAAAUUAGAUCAACUGUAAAGGCAGAUAUUUUAAGCUAAUUUUUCAAUAACUUAAUGAUACUCAAUUUAAACAUUUAGCAUAACUAUAAAAUAGCUAUAAAUAUUAAUUGAUACAUAUCACUGAAAUGUAAAAACAUUCAAUUUUGUAUGUGUAAUCUUGAAGAUGUAAUCAUCUGAAAAUACAUUUUAAUAUUGAUGUAUGUUUACUGUUUGAUACAUAUUAUUAUAUAUGUAUCAAGCACAUAUGUUUUGAUACCAAACACAUAUUAUAUGUAUGAAAGAUAUACAUAAUCUCCAAAUAAAUCAACUGUAAAUUCAAUUAAUUCAAGCCAAUAUUUCAGUAGAUUAACAAUAUGGAAUUUAAGCAUGUAGUGUAAUUAUAAAAUGUAUUUUACUGUUUGAUUCAUAUAUUAUCAUAUAUGUAUUAAAUCCACAUACUUUGGUCUAAAAUUCUAUAUAAAGCAAAUGAGUGUAUGCAUAAUCAUAAAAUUUGGUGAAUUAUUUUCACAUUUCAAUUAAAAUAUAGCAUAAGCAUAAUAAUGAUGCAGUUAAACAUGUAUAACAAGAAUAUACUAAUAGGUAAUCUAGUUUGAUACAUAUCUUUGAUAGUUAAGCAUUUGAAUUGCAGAGUCCAAGACUAUAACUCAUCAUUCCAACAUGAAGAAGACUGGUACAUUCUAUAAAAUUAGUUCUUCUUCUUUGGACUUGCAACUACAAAAUCAAACUUCAGAUUAAGCAAAACAUGUUUGGCCUUGUAGUCCUCAUUCUAGUCUUUCCUUAAUGAAUAUUACAAUUUGUUAUAUAUAAUUAAAGUACAUUAAAUUAUCUAAAGAGACAUGAAACUAAGGUUACCUGUUAGUGCGUGUCAGCAGCAACCCCUCAGAUAUCCUCAGUUUGAAUUUUGACAACAAUGAUGUUGGAUGUGGUCCAAUAAUUUUAUGACCUUCAAAAGGAUACAUCAUCUAUUAAUUAGUGUGAAUUACUUUUUUUUCUUUUGAACUAGAAUCAAAUGUAGUAAUGUAUGAAGGCUAAAGUAACUUUGAACGCGGCCUGUUCCUUUAGAUUAUUGUGUGAUGCUCAUAUAAUUUUAUAAUAUUAAAAUGAAAAAUUUGAGUCAUGCUUGCAAUAAAGUAUCACUUACGAAAAACUGUCUAUCAGUAUUAUGUAGGGUGACUGCAUUCAAUGGUGCAACAUUCAAAGCCAAAGUCGUAAAAUCAUACAUACAUCAAUAACAUUAGUUUAUGAUAAAUUCUACACAAAAUCAAUCCCAUUGUCUCAUUGAAUAUAAUCAUGUCAGGACUGUUAUCAUAUGAAAAAAUAUUUAGAUAUGCUAUUUAAUUCACCAGAUAAUAUAUCAAUUUAUAAAAUACUCUUUUUUAAGAUAUCAAAUUUAUUGACCUGUUGAUUGUCUGAUUGUUUUUUUAUUUGAGCUUUAAAUUUAUCAGUUAAAUUCUUCCCAAAAUCAGUCCCAUCCUUCUAAUUAUUUAAAUACAGUCACGAACGUUGUCAUACAAAAUAUUAUUUAAAUGUUCAAUUUGAUUCAUCUGAUAACAUACGAAGUUAUAGAAGAAUGGCUAUUUAAUGUAUCAAAUUUAUUUAUCUGCUAGUCGCCUAAUUCUUCUUUGAUCUGAGCUUUACUUGUUUCUCCUGCUUUAUUCACAACAUAAUCAUAUUGAAAGUACGUUUUGUCAUACAAGUGACCCUCAUCUCUUUUAUCAUAUUUACCGUCAUCAAUUUCAAUAAUUGAAGAUUCAGAAGACUAAAAACAUAAUAAACAACAUAAGAUUAAUUUGUAGGAAACCUAAAACAUUGUAAGUACCAUUUUAAAAAAUGUGAAGAAAUAUUUACUUUCAAAAUAUAUUAUUUUGGAAGAAAUUCUUUCACAAACGGUACUAUGUUCAAUGCUUGAAAAAUUAUAUUCUCUGAGAUUGGUCUCUCUAUUAGAGCUUUGACAAUAUCCUUAUAGUGAUUUUUCAUUAAUGAUUGAAUCUUACUGAAUUUCAUGCCGACCUAUGAUAAAACAAAAUAAUGAAUGCAUAAGGUGUAUUUUAAUUAAGUAAGAAACAUAAAAGACUUUAUAAUAUUACUGCAUGUUUAGUGUUUGAUACAUAAAAUUAGAUAUGUAUCAAACACAUAUAUUAGUAUAUUGUAUUAAAAAGUUAGCACUGAUUGGUACAUAUAUGUAAUAACCAUGCUUAUUCCUAGCUAGAAAUUAUCUCAAGGAUGCUAGUACUUACUUUGAAAUAUAAAUCUAUUUUUAUACCAGUGGUGUUUUUGAGAUUUCUACUUUCUAUCACUUGGAAAAUUGAGAUAGAUUUUUAACGAUAUCAAUUUUGUUCAAAUCCAACACUAGACGAGGAAGUUAUAGAUGUUUUUCUCAGAACUGACCGAAACGCCCAAGUGCGACGUCCAAGUUGACGGACCGCCAAACAAGUGACGGGCAACCACUUGGACUGUCACUGCUAAGGCAGUAGGGCCAUGUUCUGGAUAAAGAUUGACGGAUGAGUUGACAGACUGUCGAAUUUUUGAUGAACCGUCAUCCAGGCCAUCAACUCUUAUCCAGUGAACCCCAUUUUUGGUCCACAUAUGACGGUAGAACUAACGGACCGUCAGUUAGGUCGUCACACGCCACGUUCAGUUUAUUUUUAGGCCAUUUUAAUAGGGGUAUUCUGGUCACUUACCAGUCGCCUAUAUAUACCCAGAUAAGAACGAAUUCAGCCAUAUUGCUCAUUAUUAUUUCACAAACAAAAACUAGGGUUUCUCUCUAAAUUUAAUCUCCAAGAACAAGAUCCAAUCUUCUUGAAAAAUCAAAGGAUUUCAAAUCCUUCAAGUUCAAAAACAUCAAGAACCUUGAGUCAAGUAUGCGUAGUGUUUAUCUAUGGAUCCAUUUCAUUCAUAGAGCUCAAGAACCAUAUUUUAAAUAUUAUUUUGUGAUUGUCUUGUUGUGAUAUGAGCAUGUACAUAUUGAUGAUUGUUGUUUAAGUUUCACGAAGAUGUCUAAAGGUGUUUUCAUGAAGUAUAUGUGUUUGUUAGUUGAAACCCAUAAUCUUUAUGUGGCUUAAUAUGGUGAAAUUCAUGAACACACCUAAGCUAAAAGAAUGCAUACAAAGUGUUUGAUAAUAUGCCUAGGAUGAUAGAAUUUAUAUCCCAUGAUUUAAUAGGUCUUAACUGACAAGUCCAUGCUCUAUGCUUUACUAUUUCCCAUGAAUUCUAUGCGAGUGAUAUAUGUUGUUGUUGUGAUAUGGAUUGACCAUGAUAUUGAAGUUAUGCAAGUAUAUACAUGUAGUAUGAAUUUCCCUCUCAUGUGUAAGAUGUUGAGAACUAUGCUUAGUGUGAAAUCCCCUACUUAUGAUAUUGUAAAUUGUGGACUCUACUCUUACGAUCAAGUCAGUCAUGUGUGUUAGUUUCCUUCCAUCGAGUACUGAGGGUACUUGUACCUGAAAAAUAUAGUUGUGUGCCUAGAUCCAUGUCAUGUUAUCAUGAUAAUCUCAGUCAAGCCAUGAUCUAUAGAACUCAGUCAGUCAUGUGACUCAGGAAAUCUCAGAAAUCUCAUGAUCUCAGUUAAUUCUUAGAUAGUAGUACUAUUUUAUCAGUCAAUGGAAAUCAGUUACUCAGUUCAUGUAUAGUCAGUUAAAUCAAGUUUAAUUUCUUCUUAUGGGAGUAGAAGUUAUCACCGAGUGAAACUAAGGAUGGAAACUCACCUGCCAGUUUAGGGUGUGAUUCUUAGCAGUCAUCCUUGUGUUCCAGAACUACAUUGCCAGCGUAGGUUGAUACAUUUUAACCUGUUAGAUUAGGGUUGAUGAGGUGUCUUAACCUGUCAGCUUAGGGUUCCCACCCAUUCUCAUUUUUGAGUACCUUCCAGAUAAGGGUCACUCAAGCUAUCCUUACCAGUGGCACUGUAUUGACACCCUUCCAGCCAGGGCAGAGAUUAGACCCCAACUUAGCUAUAUGCAUCAUUGGGGCAUGUCAGUUAAACAACUACCUCCCAUAGUUUCAGUCCCAGUCUCAGUAAAAGAACUCAGAUAGUUCUUCAGAUUUCAGUGUUCCAGGACUUUCAGAUACAGUCAAUUCAGUUACAAUACGAAACUCAGGUAGUUCCAUCAGAUUCAGGACUGUCAGACAUAGCCACCCGUGUUAUCAUGAUUCCAGUAUUAUUCAUGUUAGAAAUUAGUAAACCAUGUAUUAGUGUACAGAUCUAAUUAUGAAAUAUUCACGGUUCCAGUUAAUAUAUAUGCAUGUUUGCACUCUCACGUUCAUAUCAGUUAGUCAGUUAACAUCGUUCAUGUAUGUAAACCCUUGCAUUUAGCCAACCUCACUCGUAUACUCAGUAGUCCCAAUUGUACUGACACAUUUGCAUUAUAUUGCUUUCUUUUAUGUUACACCAUAGGUUCACAGACAUGAGUUCCAGAUCAGCAGUAGUAGUAGCAUUCCAAUCGCAGAGUUGCAGUGAGACCUCAUCCAUUCAAGGACGAUAUUAUUUUAUUUCAUUUAUUAUUUCAAUUCAGUUUUGCUGGACGGAGUUAGUUAGAGACAUGUUCCUUCAACUCCUUAUUCAGACAGUAUUUAGAGGCUUUUAGAUUUAGCUCAAAUUUGAUUCAGAUUUCAGUUGUUUUGGGUAUUUGUUACCCCAUAUGGAUGUUAUGAUUUGUCGGAUAUUUUGUUUAGUUGAACCUUAUGGCCUAUUAUUCAUGUUUUACACAUUAUUACAUCAUAUAUUAUAGUAUAUAGGUACAGAUAUUAGUGAUGGGUUAGUUGUGGUCCCUCAAGAUCAUGGGCACCCUGUAGCGAUCCAGUUCAAAAAACUAGGGCAUUACAAACUUAGUAUCAGAGCCUAAGGUUCAAUAGAGUUCUAGGAAGUCUGAAACCCGCAUCUAGUAGAGUUUUGUACAUGGGUGUGUUGCGUACCACAUUUAUGUGCAAGAGGCUAUAAGAUGUUUUAGGAACAGUUUCCCUUCUUUGGGUAUUUAUUCCAAAGCUCCUUUCGGCGAACAUGUUUCUCAUGCAGAGUUUAGGGCCACAUUGACCACACUUGCUCAGUCUGUGGCUGCCCAAAAUGAAUGGCCACCAAUUAUUUUGGCCAAGUCAGUUGCAACUAGGAUUCGAGACUUCGUCCAAAUGAACCCUCCAUCUUUCUUCAGGUGUAAGUCUGAUGAAGACCUUCAGGAAUUCAUUGACUAAGUCCAGAAGGUCAUAGACAUCAUGGGAGUUACUUCUUAUCAGAGUUUCGAUUUAUCUGCCUACCAGUUAUAGAAUGUCGCUCACACUUGGUGCAAAUAGUAGAAGUCUGAGAGGUUUGAUGAUGCAGGUCCUAUAGAGUGGGAGAAAUUUGUCACGACUUUUUUAGAUAGAUUCUUUCCCCAAGAGCUGAGGAAGGCAAAAGUUCUAGAGUUCAUCAACCUCGGGCAGGGAAAUAUGAUGGUUAAAGAGUAUUCUCUUAGAUUUACUCAGCUAUCCAGAUAUGACCCUUAUGUGGUUGCAGAUAACAUGGCUAAGAUAAGCAAGUUUGUGUCAGGGGUGAAUGAUAGCGUGGUAAAUAAGUGUAGGUCUGCAAUGUUGAACAGUGAUAUGACUUUAGCCAGGCUCAUGACUCAUGCUCAAAAAAUAGAGGAGUAGAAUAUUAGGACUAGGGAGAGGCAGAACAAGAGAGCAAGGUCAAGCAGUUUCGGUUUUGUUCAACCAAAAUCAGAAGGAGAAAACCGUUCGCAAUUUUGUCCUAAGCCAGUAGUUCCAGCUCCUUCCUCCACCAGUGCCCCAGUACCAAAAUUCAAAGAUAGAAAAAGAUAUCGAGCACCAGGCUCUAAGUUUAAGGGUAGUAUCAGUAGUGCUCGAACUAAUCCUCUAUGUCAGACUUGUGGUAAAAACCACAAGGGUACCUAUAGAGAUGGUAGUGAUGUAUAUUUAGGUUGUGGAAAGCCAGGACACAGGGUUAAAGAGGGUUCGCAGUCAGGUCUGCAAGGUCAAUAGAAUCAUUCCACAGCCCAUUUCGGUCACCCAAAUCAACAGGGUGCCACUUCCAGUGCUACUAGUGGGCAACGCCCAAACAGACUCUAUGCUCUUCAGAACCAAUAGGAUCAGGAAAAUUCUCCUGAUGUCAUCCCUGGUACAUUACAGAUUUUCCAUGUUCAUGUUUAUGCUUUGCUAGAUCCAGGUGCAUCCUUGUCUUUUGUUACUCCUUAUAUAGAAGGCAAUUUUAUAAUCAGUCCUAAAAUUUUAGCAGAGCCCUUUUCAUUCUCUACCCCAUUGGGUAAAACCAUCAUAGCUCGAUGGGUAUACAGGAACUUCCCGAUUAUGAUAUUUCAGAAAUUCACUUCAAUAAAUUUAGUUAAGUUAGAGAUGACUGAUUUUUGAUGUCAUUCUCGACAUGGAUUGGCUUCAUUCCUGGUAUGCCAUAGUCGACUACAGAAACAGGAUAGUUCAGCUUCAGUUCCCGAAUGAGCCCAUCCUAGAAUGGAAGGGUAGUACUUUAUCUUUUAGGGGUCAGCUUAUUUCCUACCUUCGAGUAAGGAAAAUGAUUUCUAAGGUGUGUGUAUCAUCUGGGGCAUGUUAAAAUUCCAAUUCUGAAUCUCCUAGUUUUGAAUCAGUCCCAGUUGUAAAUGAGUAUUCAGACAUGUUUCCCGAAGAUCUUCCAAACAUUCCUCCCAAAGAGAAAUAGACUUCGGCAUUGACCUUAUUCCAGAUACUCAUCCUAUUUCUAUGCUGUCAUACGGAAUGGCACCAGCAGAAAUCAAGGAACUGAAAGAUCAGUUGAAGGAUCUUUAGGAUAAGGGAUUCAUCAAGCCUAGUGUAUCCCCAUGGGGUGCACCAGUCUUAUUCAUACGCAAGAAAGACAGUUCUCUAAGGAUGUUAUUGAUUACGGUCAGGUCAACAAAGUUACGGUCAAGAACAAGCAUCCUCUUCCCAAAAUAGAUGACUUGUGUGACCAACUUCAGGGUGCCAGUUAUUUAUCCAAAAUAGACCUCAGAUCAGGCUACCAUCAGCUUAGAGUUAGAGAAUAUUACAUCCCGAAGAUAGCUUUCUAUACUCAGUAUGGUCACUUCAAGUUUCUAGUUAUGUCCUUUGGUCUUACUAAAGACCCAACCACUUUCAUGGACUUGAUGAGCUGUGUGUUCAAGAAAUACUUGGACAUAUUUGUCAUAGUCUUCAUAGAUGAUAUCCUGGUCUAUUCUCGCACAGAGCAUGAUCAUUCAAACCAUCUCAGGAUUGUUCUUUAGACUCUCAGAGAUUACCAGCUAUUCGCUAAAUUUAGUAAGUGCGAGUUUUGGCUAAGAUUAGUAGCAUUCCUUAGCCAUAUUAUUUCUGGUGAUGGCAUUAGAGUAGAUCCUCAAAAGACCGAAGUGGUAAGAAAUUGGCCUUGCUUCGUCUCUCCAUCAGAUAUCAGGAGUUUUUAGGGAUUGACUGGCUAUUAUAGAUGGUUUGUUGAGGGAUUUUCUUCUAUUACAUCCCCCAUGUCUAGAUUGACUCAGAAGAAGGUCAAGUUUCAGUGGUUAGAUCCUUGUGAGAAGAGUUUUCAAGAGUUGAAGACUUAACUCACCUCAGCUCUAGUUCUAGCUCUUCCAGAUGGUUCAGACGAUUUUGUAGUCUAUUGUGAUGCAUCCAGAGUGGUUCUAGGUUAUUUUCUCAUGCAACAUGGUAAGGUCAUAGCCUACACCUCUAGACAGUUAAAGUCCCAUGAGAAAAAUUAUCCUACUCAUGAUCUUGAGUUAGCAGCUGUAGUAUUUGCCUGGAAGAUUUGGAGGCAUUAUCUAUACGGAGUUCAUGUAGAUAUCUUCACAGAUCAUAAGAGUCUUUAGUAUGUCUUUUCUCAGAAAGAUCUCAAUCUUCAUCAGAGAAGGUGGUUAGAGCUCUUAAAAGAUUAUGACAUGAGUGCCCUUUAUCAUCUAGGCAAGGCCAAUGUUGUGGCCGACGCUCUCAGUAGACUCUCUAUAGGUAGUGUUUCUCAUGUUGAGGAUAGCAAAAAGAAGAUAGCUUAGUAAAUCUAUCAGCUCGCCAGACUAGGUAUUCACUUACUCAAUUCUUUGGAGGGUGGUGUAUGUGUUCAGAGUAGUUCAGAGUUAUCUCUAGUUUUUGAGGUAAAAGAAAAGCAAGACAGGGAUCCUAGCCUUGUCAAGCUAAAAGAUUCAGUUAUGAAUCAGAGAGUAGAGGUUUUCUCCCAAGGGGGAGAUAGGGUUCUUCAUUGUCAGGGUCGUCUGUGCAUUCCAGGUGUAGAUGAAUUAAAGCAGCGAAUUCUUGUAGAAGGGCAUGGUGCGCGAUACUCUAUUCAUCCAGGGGCCACUAAGAUGUACUGCGACCUGCGGGAAAUCUAUUGGCGGAGUGGGAUGAAGAGAGAUAUUACAGAGUUUGUGCCUAAGUGCUCUACAUGUCAGCUAGUUAAGAUAGAGUAUCAGAAGCCUAGUGGACCCAUAUAGGAGUUCACCAUUCCUACUUGGAAGUGGGAAGAGGUGAACAUGGACUUCGUGAUAGGUUUGUCUCGAACUCGUCAUCAGCCCAAUUCAGUUUGGGUUAUUAUAGAUAGGAUGACCAAGUCAGCUCAUUUCCUUCUAGUUCAUACCUCUUAUUCAGUCGAGGAUUACACCAAACUCUAUAUCAAGUAAUUGGUUAGAUUACACGGUGUUUCAUUAUCUAUUAUUUUAGACAGAGGUACCUAGUUCACCUCUCACUUCUGGAAAAUAUUCCAAAAGGGACUUGAUACCCAAGUCCAUCUCAGUACAGCCUUUCAUCCUCAGACAGAUGGUCAAGCAAAAAGGACCAUUCAGACUCUUAAAGAUAUGCUGAGGGCGUGUGCAAUUGAUUUCAAGGGAAGUUGGGAUAACCACUUACCUUUGAUUGAGUUUGCAUACAACAAUAACUAUCAUUCCAGUAUUAAAAUGGCUUCAGUUGAAGAUUUCUAUGGCAGGAUGUGUAGAUCUCUAAUUGGUUGGUUUGAAGUUAGUGAGGCCUCAGUCAUAGGUCCUGACUUGGUUUUCAACGCCUUAGAGAAAGUUCAGUUGAUCAGAGAGAGACUCCAGGCUACUCAGAUCCGAUAGAAGUCUUACGCUGAUGUUCAUAGAAAGGAUCUCGAGUCAAGUUCAAUGACUAUGUCUAUCUCAAGAUCUCUCCCAUGAAGGAAGUGAAGAGGUUCGGUAAGAAAGUGAAACUCAGUCCCCGCUAUGUCCGUCCCUUCAUGAUUCUCAGUCAUUUAGGCAAGGUAACUUAUGAGCUCGAAUUACCUUCAAAUUUAGCCUCAGUUUAUCCGGUAUUCCAUGAAUCCUUGCUCAAGAAGUGCUAGGCAACCCAGCAGUUGUAGUCCCUAUUCAGAGCAUUGAUGUUUAGAACAGUCUCUCUUAUGAUGAAAUUCCAGUCGAAAUCUUAGACUAUCAAACUCGUCGAUUGAGAAACAAAGAGGUCCCUCUAUUUAAGGUUCUUUGCCAAAAUCAGUUCAUCGAGGGAGCUACUUGGGAAGCAGAAGUAGAUAUGUGUAGUAAGUAUCCUCACCUCUUCUCCGCCAAUUCAGAUCAAGCUUAAGGUAAUAGUUCUCCUUAAGUUUAUUCAGUUUCAUGUUCACAUUCCCAUUAUAAAAUUUGUAUAUACUACCAUUGCAUACUCAGUCAUGCAUUCAUGUACCAGUUCAGUUAUAAACUCAUGCAUCUGCUAUGGAUUCUCAUCUCGAGGAACUUCAGUUAUGAGAAACCUCAGUCACGUAUUCAUGUAUUAGUUAGCCAUGCAUCAGAUAUGCAUGAGUUCAGUAUAUUUAGUAUGUCAGUCAUGAAGCCAUGUCUCAGUCACUUAUUUUUCAGUUCAUGUUCAUUUAUUAUUUUCCUUCUUAGUCAGUCUCAUUCGAGGAUGAAUGUUCUCAAGGGGGAGAUAUUGUAAUACCCGUGCUUAUUCCUAGCUAGAAAUCAUCUCAAGGAUGCUAGUACAUACUUUGAAAUACAAAUCUAUUUUUGUACCCAUGGUAUUUUUGAGAUUUCUACUUUCUAUCAUGUGAGAAAUUGAGUUAGGUUUCUAACGAUACCAAUUUUGUCCAAAUCCAACACCAGAUGAGGAAGUUAUGGAUGUUUUACUCAAAACCGACUGAAAUGCCCAAGUGCAACGACCAAGUUGACGGACCACCACUUUGACCAUCACAGCUAAGGUAGUAGGGCCAUGUUCUGGAUAAGGAUUGACAGAUGAGUUAAUGAACUGUCAGAUUUUUGAUAGACCGUCAUCCAGGCCGUCAACUCUACGUAUGACGGUCAAAAUGAUGGACCAUCAAGUUUUUGAAGGACCGUCAGUCGGGUCGUCACACGCCACGUUUAGUUUAUUUUCAGGCCAUUUUAAUAGGGGUAUUCUGGUCACUUACCACUCAACUAUAUAUACCCAGAUGAGUCCGAAUUCAGCCAUUUUGCUCAUUAUUAUUUCAUAAAAAAAAACUAGAGUUUCUCUCUAAAUUUAAUCUCCAAGAACAAGACCUAAUCUCUUCAAAAAUCAAAGAAUUUCAAAUCUUCAAGUUCAAAAACAUCAAGAACCUUGAGUCAGGUAUGCGUAGUGUUCAUCUAUCGAUCCAUUUCGUUCAUAGAGCUCAAGAAUCAUGUUUUAAAUAUUAUUUUGUGAUUGUCUUGUUGUGAUAUAAGCAUGUACAUGUUGAUGAUUGUUGCUUAAGUUUCAAGAUGAUAUCUAAAGGUGUUUUCAUAAAGUAUAUGUGUUUGUUAGUUGAAACCUAUGAUCUUUAUAUGGCUUAAUAUGGUCGAAUUCAUGAACACACCUAAGCUAAAAGAAUGCAUUAAAAGUGUUUGAUAAUAUGCCUAGGAUGAUAGAAUUCAUGUCCCAUGAUUUAAUUGUGCUUAAAUGACAAGUCUAUGCUCUAUGUUUUACGAUAUCCCAUAAAUUCCAUGUGAGUGAUAUGCAUUAUUGUUGUGAUAUAGAUUGACCAUGAUAUUGAAGCUAUGCAAGUAUAUAUAUGUUGUAUGAAUUUCCCUCCCAUGAUGUUGAGAACUAUGCUUAGUGUGAAAUCCCCUACUUAUGAUCUUGUAAAUUAUGGACUCUACUCUUACGAUCAAGUCAGUCAUGUGUGUCAGUUUCCUUCCAUCGAGUCCUGGGGGUACUUCUACCCGAAAAAUAUAGCUGUGCGCCUAGAGCCAUGUCAUUUUAUCACUAUAAUCUCAGUCAAGCCAUGAUCUAUAGAACUCAAUUAGUCAUGUGACUCAGAAAAUCUCAGAAAUCUCAUGAUCUCAGUUAAUUCUCAGAUAGUAGUGCUAUUCCGUCAGUCAACAGAAGUCAGUUACUCAGUCUAUGUACAGUCAGUUAAAUCAUGUUCAGUAUUUUCAGAUGGGAGUAGGAUGGGAACUCACCUGCCAGUUUAGGGUGUGAUUCUUAGCAGUCAUGCUUGGGUUCCAGAACUACAUAGCCAACGUAGGUUGAGACAUCUUAACUUGUUAGAUUAGGGUUGAUGAGGUGGCUUAACCUGUCAGUUUAGGGUUCCCACCAUUCUCGUUUUUGAGUACCUGCUAGAUAAGGGUCACUCAUAUUUGUCCUUACCAGUGGCGAGGUAUUAACACCCUUCCAGUUGGGGCAGAGAUUGGACCCCAACUUAUCUAUAUGCUUCAUUGGGGCAUGUCAGUUAAACAACUACCUCCCACAGUUUCAGUCCCAGUCUCAGUAAAAGAACUUAGAUAGUUCUUUAAAUUUUAGUAUUUCAGGACUGUCAGAUACAGUCAAUUCAGUUACAGUACGAAACUCAGGUAGUUCCAUCAGAUUCAGGACUGUCAGACACAGCCACCCAUGUUAUCAUGAUUCCAGUAAUAUUCAUGUUAGAAAUCAGUAAACUAUGUAUUAGUGUACAGAUCUAAUUGUCACGUAUUCACUUUUCUAGUUACUAUGUACGCAUGUUUACACUCUCACGUUCAUACCAGUCAGUCAGCUAACAUCGUUCAUGCAUGUAAACCCUUGUAUUUAGCCUACCUCACUCGUAUAAUCAGUACUCUCAGUUGUACUGAUGCAUUUGCUCUAUGGUGCUUUCUUUUAUGUUACAUCAUAGGUUCAUAAACAUGAGUUCCAGAUCAGCAGUAGCAGUAGCAUUACAGUCGCAGAGUUGCAGUGAGUCCUCAUCCAUUUGAGGACGAUAUUAUUUUACUUUAUUUAUUAUUUUAGUUUAGUUUUACUGGACGAAGUUAGUUGGAGACAUGUUCCUUCAACUCUUUAUUCAGACAAUAUUUAGAGGCUUUCAGAUUUAGCUUAGAUUUGAUUCAAAUUUCAGUUGUUUUGGGUAUUCGUUACCCUAUAUGGAUGUUAUGAUUUGUCGGAUAUUUUGUUCAGUUGAACCUUAUGCCCUAUUUUUAUGUUUUCCACAUUAUUACGUCAUAUAUUGCAAUAUACAGGUACAAAUAUCAGUCAUGGGUUAGCUUGUGGUCCCUCGGGAUCAUUGGCACCGUGUAGUGAUCCGGUUCAGAAAACCGAGGUAUUACAAUAUACAUUUAACAGAUUGAUACAUAUACAUUAAGAUAAAAUAUAUCACUAAUUGAUACAUAUACAUUUAGCUAAAAAGUAUGAAAAAAAUCUAUAGCAUAGGUUUAAUUUUAUUCAUUUGAUAGUUUUAAAUCUUUUUAGGUCUAUCAAGAUAACAAUUGAAUAUGAUAAUACAAAAAAAAACUUUCAUAUGUCGUAACAAAAAACUUGAUGUCAUCGGUAUCAGACUUGAAGAGUGAUUUCUUCUAAUUUAUUUUAGUAACAUCUACAGCUUUCAUCUCCGACUGAGGCUGAUUUGGCGCAUCAUCUUCAAUAUUCUUAUCAUUGUCUAAUGACACUUAUGAUGAGCUUAAGAGUUUUUACCUUUUAGACAAUGAAAAUUUAUUUUUGAAUCUUAGAAACAAUGGUUGUAGAUUUUUCAAGAGACCAUCUGUUUUUGCCUCUUCAGUUAGAGAGUGGUGGAAGAACCGACAUACCUCUUGAUUUUUUGAUCAAUUCUUUUGUUGAUAGCGUACUAAAAUAUUCAAAAUCAUCAUGAGCUAAUGCAACAAAAUCAUCUUGUUCUUGUAGCUUUCUUGAAUGUACUGCAGGUACAGAUGAAGCUCCUAAAUCAAUGAAAUCAACACUCAACGGGUUGGACAAGUCAAGUUCAAUUAAUUUUUAUGGUUUUGGAGAUAUAUUGUUGUACACAUAUUGUAACAAAAAUAAUAUAUUAUAUUAAAAAAAUAUCAAUUCAGCUAUUUUAUAACCUCACAAAAAAAGUUAGAAUGAAAUUAUUAAUAAUAUAAAUAUUAUACAAUUCUAACACCUCACUAAACAUGUCGGCCAUCAUAUCCUCAUAUCUUAGCUUGGGCUUAACUACAGACCAAUCAACAAUCUCAGAAUUAAAUUGUUCUUCUGAAUGACCAGUUUUUUAUGAACUUUAGAACAACAUUAGUACCAUCAAAUUUGAAUUGCAUAUGACAUGUCAUUUAAUUUGUAAUAUUGCUUAGUUUGGUUCAUGUCUUUGCUGAAUGAUUUGAUAAGAAAUGAAAAAGUUAAUUUUUCUCAUGAAAAUCGAUUAUAGCUUUCAUCCUCAAUCAUGUAAAAAUCGCUCACUGAAAUAUUGAUAGUGCCCAAUUAAGAGAAAAUGAAUGUGUGGAUGAAGUAUAAGAUCCCAAUUUUGACCCCAUCUUAAAUAUUGUUAUCUCAUUUUCUAUUUUCAAAGUAGCUAACCAACUCACGUUUCUUCACAUUUGUGGAGCUUUCUGAAAGAUAUUUUCUCUGAAAUCUACAAGGAGGGUGAUUAGAGUAGUUGAAAUCGUCUUCAUUACCAGUGUAAUUCAACUCGAUGGCAAUAGAAAACUCAUAAAUUGAAAAUCGGAGGAUGGUAUUGUUAAUAUAUAUCCUUAUCUGAUCAGGAUAAUUAUGUUUUCCCUCUAAGAUCAUUAAACACCUAGCAAUUGUUCUUAAAAGUUGUAUUUAGGUAUUCUGAGAUAUGGUCCAAAAUAGGUACGACAAAAUAUUCUACAUUCUUCAUCCUUCAGGCCAUUCUUGGACUUUAAAACAAUCUUUUGAUUAUGUAUGCUAUAGUACCUUAAAUUAUCUGAUGUCCUCAUAUUGACAACCAAGCUAAAAUUCUCUAUAAUUAUCAAAUUAAAUAAAUUAGGUUGGUCACAUAACAUUAUACUAUACUCUAAUAUGUAUCAAGGUAAAAUACUAUAUGUAUCAAGGUAAAAUAUUAUAUGUAUCAAGGCCAAAUACAGUGACACAAAACAGAUAAAUCAAACAUAUAUAUCAAAAUGGAUAAAAAAUAUGUAUAUUAGGUUAACACAUGACAGUGAAACCCUUCUAUCAUAAUGUUUCAAAUGUAUCAAAAUAUGCAAAUCAUAAAUUCACAUAACAGACUUGAAAUAUAUCAAAUCUAACAAAAGCAAUAAAUAUCAAUACGACAUAUAUAUUAUUAAAAAUAAUUAAUAGGGAUAACAAUGUAUCAAACGUAUCAGCUAACAAAAGUAUCAAAAAUAUUCAGAUCUUAGCAAACUAUCAUAUGUAUCAAUAGAAAAUUGUAAAUUUUUCUUACCACGUUCGACGAGAAAUUGUACAUCUCUUCUGUAUCGCCCUCCUUACUGCUUUGCAUGUUUGCUUUCUCAGUUCGAGCUAUGUAAUCUUCUUGUAGAGUCUCCAUCUUUGAGGGGUCAUUGCGGUGUUUUGAUCUAUUUUCAUAAAAAAAAUUCAAAAAUAUUAUUAAAAAUACCCAAAAUAAAAUCCACCACUUGAAGAACUAACAAUGUUCUUAUCAAUUUGGGUAACACCCAAACUAAAUGAUGAUAAAUCAUCGAAAUUCAUAAAAAUUAAAAAUAAAUACAAUAAAUGUGUUUUAAAACUAAGAUAAAGUAAUCUUUCUUAAAAUUAACUUUGACAUUUCACUCACCUCUCGAAAAAAUAAGAUUUUUUUUUAAUAAAUUAACUUGAAUGUCAUUUGCAGUAGUUGAAUAAUGGAGAUAAGUGAUUGAAAUUCAUAAUUGGAGAGAAGUUACCAAUUAUUUUGGGGUGAGAAAUUUAAUGAAAUGGAGAGAUUUGGGGUUGAAAAGUAGGAGAUUGUGCAAUUUUUAUAGAGAAAAGAUAUGUAUCAAGGGUAGAUAUCUAAAAAGUGAUAUAUUAUGAAUAAUUUAAGUAAAACUUACAUAAAUCCCACCUAAUCUAUCCAUAUUUACAACUUAUUCCGAUUUUUUCAAAAUCUCAUAAAUUAUUUUUUUUUUAAAUACAUAAAAUUCAGAGAGAUAACGUAAUACUCCUGACUUAUCCUAUCUCAAUUCAGCUCUUACUUGCAUGCUUAAGGGGUAUAAGGCUUGAAAUUUUCACUAAGUGUUGGGGACUUAUUCAUUUUCAAGACCCCUAAACUUUGAGGAUUUUUAUUUUGAUCUUUCCGACCCAGAGAUGUUAGUUUUUGAGUUAAUUCAUGUUCAAAGAAGUAAGAAGUAUAUCUCAGAGAAGUUUUGGAUUUUUUGGACGAGGAUUGAGUCACUUUUGGAUUUUGAUUCCACAACCUCACCGCGAUAGUGGUGUGCCGCGAUGUUUUUAUCCAGUUCUUGAUUUAUAAUUUGAAUUCAUGUGUAAUAAUUUUUAUAAUAGUGUGUGACGUGCUUAUUAGGUGAAAAGUGUUCAUAGAAAUUACUUAGAGCAAUGUUGAGCUAAGAGCCUUUGAUUCGUCCCAAGUUUGGUAUUUGAUUCUACAAGGGUCAACUUUAAAUUUGUAUAAAUUUUGAUAUACAUAAAAAUUUUCAUCUCAAGACCCACCAAAUUGUAGAUAAUUGAAUUAGCUUUCCAGCAAUACCACUUUCGCCUUAAUCUGAUACUCGAGCGAAAAGUUAUGAUCAUUUUUUUCAGAAUCAGUAAUCCACCGCUAUUAGACCGUGUCGCGAUGAACCUUUAAUCGGUAUUCUAGUUACGAAUUUUUAGUUUAAAUGAUAGAAGGGCAAUUGGAUCUUUUCUCACCUUAACCAAAUUUGUAAAAACACGACCUAAGGCUUCAGUUAGGGCAUUAGAUGCAUAUUCUUCAAAUUUCCUCUCAAGAACAAACCCUAAUCAUCUCCAAGUUCAUCCAUUACAUCAUCUUCUCUUCAAGAGAAACCAAGAAUUUAAGUUCCCUAAUCCAAAAAUUUCAAGAAAGCUUUCAAGAUCAUCUCCAUGGCUUUCAAGGUCAAGGUUUCUCCACCAAGUCAAGUCUAUUAAGGUAUUUUUAAAGUAUGUGAUUAUCAUGAGAUUUAAAGCUUAAGUUAUAUCAAGAAGUGCUUAUGUUUAUGUUUUUAACUUACAAGAUUUAUAUUAUGAAUGAGAUUGCACUAUCUUGACUUGUUAUUGUUCAAUUAUUUCAAGAAUUAUAUUGGGCAUGAAAUUUUGGUAUGAAUUAUCAUGAGUUUAAAGCAUGAAUUUUAAGACCUAAGUUUAAGUGUUGAGAUUUCAAGAAGAUUAUGCUUUUAAGCAUUCUAUGACAAGCUUAUAUUUUAAAGCAAGAAUAGAUCUUUUGAUCCCCAGUAAAGAUUAUGAAAUCCACAUUAUUCAGACUGUUUAUGAUUUAAAGUAAAGAGAAGCAUAAUUGGUUUUUUUCAUUAUAUAAAACAUUAUGCUAUUUUAAGGUGUAUUUCCUAUUGUACGAGCGUACAGAUAAUAUGGGAGUAGUAUUUAGCACCGAGUUGGGUAUGAUUCCAAGGUAACAUGCCCCAGAAUUACGUGCCACCGUAGGUUUUAAUACUCAUAGUGGGUUUAAUAUAGUGAUCACUCUAGCUUAGGUUCUAUUCCGAUGGCAAGGGUAGAACAGCUCUCCCCAACGUGGAUAAGACGUUGGAUUCCUUGGUAGCUCACAUGGUUUAUGUCGGUUAGAAGAACCUCCCAAAAGAAAGAGUAAAAGCAAAGAUUUUAAAAACUAAGUGUUAUGGCUCACAAAGUUAUCUUUAUGCUUCAUUACUCAUGUUUACGAUUUUACACCUUUUGUUUUAUUCAAACCCAAGGUGAGUCAUUUACACUUAGCAUGCAUUAUUUGAAAGUCUAUGAGUAUAUUGAGUUAUUAUUUUACUUAUGCAUUCACCCUACAUAAUCAGUACAUUCUAGAAGUACUGAUCCAUAUAUAUUUCUAUAUGCUAUAUUGUCUCAUAAUGUAGUUACCAGUUGUAGUCCAUGCAUCAUAAUCAGACAGUGUGCAACUUUCGGUCAAUAGGUGAUGAGUCCUUUUGAUUCGAGGGCUCAUAGUUCGAGUAGCAUCUUAUUUUCUUCAUUCAGUCGUAUUGAUUAGGGAUAACUGGGGGUCAUGCCCCGGCUACCUAUAGUCAAUAUUAGUAAAGGUUACAUAGACAAUCAGUAUAGUUGAUGUAUUUAAUUUCAUUUUUCUUUUAUAUAACCAGAGUUGUAAUUAGUUUAUACAGUUUUGUAUUGAACCUACUUAGUAAGGACAUCUCUUCCGCUUAUUUCUUUCAGAUUAAUGUAUCUUAUUUAGUUACUCACGAGUUAUGCCAGUAUAAGGGUUAGCUUGGGAUCACUUGUGGUCUUAAGUAUCGUGUAACGUCCAGGGGGUAGUCUCGGGGAAUUACAUAAAAGUUCGAUGAUACAUUUUAAUAAACAACUAAAUCCCUGAAAUUAAUAAAUAUAAUAAAAAGUUACAGAUUUAAUGAGUAACUAUCUCUCCAAAUUUUUUAAUUAACAAUAAUAUAUUUCCUAAAAAAUUGUAUUUUGUCAAUAAUGGAAGUUUUUUGAAUUAUUAUUCUCCAUAUUCAGUUAGCUUAUUCCUUCAUGUAUUUAUUUUUCUUUCUGCAUCUGCAUUUUUUUUAUUAUCAACUAAUAGCAAUGAAUAUUUUGGUGUUAUUACGUCAUUCCGACAUUUGAAUUACUGAUGUUAAGUACGAGGGAUAUAAGAGUGAUGGCAUUGUAGUAUGCAAAUAAUUUUCACAUGAAAAAUUAAUUUCUAUCAUUACAACAAAACUUGAAAUUGAUGUAAGUAGGAAAAAAAUUGAAGCUAGAUACGUUAUUGAAGGUAGUUCAGCUCCAUUGUUGAUUCGUAAUGAUAUGGGGGCGAAAUUAUAUUUUGAGGUUAAGAAAUGUGUGCAAAGUUUUGAGAUGUAUUCACUAUGCAUCACAAUAAUCGAUAAAGUUGAAAUGAAGAUGUAGUUUGAGUGAGAAAUUAGAGCAGAUAUGUAUGUAGAGACCACUGAUACGAAAGGUCAAUCAUUGGAUCGUUCAUUCAAAUAUUUCAGUUCAAUCAGAUUUGAUCGACGUUAAGGGAAACAAAUAACUUCAGAUUGACAGAUUUCAGAUGUUAAGAUAGUUCAAAUCUACAUAGACAAAAAAAAACACUGAUUUCCAUUACGGCAAAGUAUGCAAUUGGUCAUUCUUUCAAUUUUAGAGCGAAAAUAUCCAAAAAAAAAAAAAAGGUAUGUAUUUUGUGUUGCAAUUAUUAAAAAUUAUUGUGUAUUUUAUGUUUUGUCAUUAUGUAUUUCUAGUUUUACAUUGUCAUGCUAAAAUGAUGUAAGUAUUUGGGACAAAGUUCGUUUAAUAUGUUAAGCUUUAUGUAUUUCAUGUUAUGAUAUACAUAUUUAAUGUAUCUCAUGUUUGUAUUUAUCUGAAGAUACAUUUUUUAAUUAUGUUAGUGGUAAGAGAGACAUAAUUAUCUAGUAUAUGUGUAUGGGCAUAUGUAAUUUAAUUUUUUUAAAUGAUAUUAUAUAUUAUUAUUGUCGAAGUAAGCAGAUUAAAAAAGUGUUAAUGUCAUAUAGAAUUUGUUGCAGUGCAUUAAUUAAUAAUAAAUUUGAAUAUAUAUAUAUUAUGUUGAUCUGGAGAAUCUUGUUUUUGUUUGUUUGUAGUUACAUACUAAAAUGUUUUUCAGUGGAUUGUAGUUGGGUUUUUAGGGCUUCUUGUUGAAAGGGUAUGUAAAAAUGUUUUAUGAUUUUCACACAUGCCCUUUGAAGAUAGAUUGUUCACAUAGGUUCAAGCAAUGAUCACAUUUGUUAGUGAUUUUACAACUCUGAAAUUAGUCAAUCACAAGAGAAAACACACACAAAAUGACAUAAUUGAAGAUAUUAAAGCUUUUUUUGGUGUCAACAUUAAUUAUCAGAAAGCAUGGAGGGUAAAAAAAGUGCAGUUGAGAUGUUAAGGCGAACAUCUGCAGUUGAUUAUCGUCAAAUUUCUAGAUACAUAUAUAUGCUAAAUUCAGUGUAAUGAAACAUGUAUCUUGUUUUGUGAAAGUGUAUCUCGCAUAACUUUGUGACUAUAAUAUAAUGUAUCUCUUAUAUGUUAUUAUAUGUAUCUUUUUUGGCAAAUAUGUAUUUUAUAUAAGAUAAGGAGCAAUUCUUUUAAUUUGUAUCUCGCAGAUGUGGAGUUUAGGAUUAUGUAUGUUAAGACAUAUAUUUCGCAUAAAAUGUAUAUCAUACAGUCGUAUGUUGUUUAAAUUAUAAACACGUAUAAUUAUCUAAUCUCAUAUAAAAUGUAUCUGAUAUAUUUGUUACAAAUGUUGUUUAGUAUCAGGUAUAUUAUAUUGCAAUUGCACAUACACCUCUGUUACUGAUUAUAACAUACAUAUACAUGUACAACAGUCUAAACAUCAAAUUUUUUAUUUAUCUGUCCAAAUCUUUUAGGAUGUAUCUCUCAUAACUUUUUGAAUGUAAUAUAACGUAUCUCUUAUAUGUUAUUAUAUGUAUCAUUUUUUUUCCUAAUAUGUAUUCUAUAUAAGAUAAUGAAAAAUUAUUUUAAUUUGUAUCUCUUAGAUAUGCAGUUUUGGAUUAUGUAUGUUAACACAUGUAUCUCACAUAAAAUGUAUCUCAUACAGUCGUAUGUUAUUUAAAUUAUAAACACGUAUAAUUGUUUAAUCUUAUAUAAAAUGUAUCUAUAAUCUGUUACAAAUGUUGUUUAGUAUUAGGUAUAUUAUAUGACAGUUGCACAUACACCUUUGUUACUGAUUAUAACAUAUAUAUACAUGUACAACGGUCUAAAUAUCAAACUUCAAAUUGAAGUAGUGAUUACAUACAAUUAUUCUGUAAAAUAAUUGAAAUUUCAUGAAAACAUAAAUCAAAAACUCAACAUGAGUACUUCAACAAUUAUACUUGUUAAACUAACAUGCAAUUCAAACAAAAUGUAAAACUUAAAAUAUAGUAAAACAUAAAAUUUCAUCCAAAAUAAUUAAUUAAAAAACAACAUUAAAUGACCAUGUCUUCGCAUAAGUUGUCAGUCUUGUUUUUCUAGAAAAAGCAAGAGACUAAUUAAAAGUUAAUCAACAUAAACACAGACACAUCUACUCAACACUAAUAACUUUUCCUGGAACUGAUCUUACGAGGGUUGCUUUAGGCCUCGGUGGAUCUUCAUUAUCACUAAAGUAGUUGUUCUCUGCCUCAUCCAUUUCAUACUUUCAUAAUAGGGAUACAUAUCUCAAAUGAUUGUAUUCGACAAUAAUAUCAGAACAUGAUACACUAACCCCUCACUCAAAAACUCUGAAAACACAACAACAAAUAAUCCACAAUCCCUGCAAUUUUAUUAUUUUUUUAAUCAAUAUAGUUACUUAUUAUUGAAAUGCAAGAAGGAAAUUGAAAAAUAAAUAAAAAUAUACUUACAAGAUGCCGCUAUAUGUUGUUGUGCAAUUUCAGAAACAUACUCCACUUCAAAUAGGUCCUUUUCAGUCUUGUCUUUAUACGAUUCAAGCGAUAUCCAAUCUAUUGUAACUCUUUGAUUAAGAAAGUUUCUAUACAUGAGGCAAUUCUUUUUUGUCAUCAGAGCCUCCUUUCGUCUUUGCUUUAAGUGCUUUCUUUAAUUUCUUCAUCGUAAUGAAAUUGCUGCUGUUUUUUAUCAAUUUUCGCUCAACACUUCAAAUCACACAACUUUCAACAACAAUGAAAAUAAACUAAUUUGAAAAAAAAUGAGGUUGAAAGUUUAUUGUGGAUGAAUCAAUCCGCAGUAAAUUUUCAACCUCAUUUUUUCAACAACAAAGACAGUUUACUGUGUCUCAUCUCAAGAAAUUAUUGAAU
This 37572-nucleotide long non-coding RNA is filed under the name Capsicum annuum. RNAcentral describes it as "long non-coding RNA (CANN_LNC004574)". The record is from RNAcentral. Lineage: Eukaryota; Viridiplantae; Streptophyta; Magnoliopsida; Solanales; Solanaceae.